Molecule: non-coding RNA, 64 nt
Organism: Candidatus Schekmanbacteria bacterium RBG_16_38_11
Lineage: Bacteria; Candidatus Schekmaniibacteriota
Source: Rfam
UUUAAAAAUGGCGAUGGGGUUCGCCUCUAACCAUCCAUAAAGGAUUGAUGACCCCUACUGAAAC